This 1780-nucleotide ribosomal RNA is filed under the name Ustilaginoidea virens. RNAcentral's name for it is "bacterial SSU rRNA". It matches the Rfam family "Eukaryotic small subunit ribosomal RNA", at positions 88 to 1415 of the family's 1831-position model. The record is from RNAcentral. Lineage: Eukaryota; Fungi; Ascomycota; Sordariomycetes; Hypocreales; Clavicipitaceae.
UGCGAAUGGCUCAUUAUAUAAGUUAUCGUUUAUUUGAUAGUAUCUUGCUACUUGGAUAACCGUGGUAAUUCUAGAGCUAAUACAUGCUAAAAAUCCCGACUUCGGAAGGGAUGUAUUUAUUAGAUUAAAAACCAAUGCCCUCUGGGCUCUCUUGGUGAAUCAUGAUAACUUCUCGAAUCGCAGGGCCUUGCGCCGGCGAUGGUUCAUUCAAAUUUCUUCCCUAUCAACUUUCGAUGUUUGGGUAGUGGCCAAACAUGGUUGCAACGGGUAACGGAGGGUUAGGGCUCGACCCCGGAGAAGGAGCCUGAGAAACGGCUACUACAUCCAAGGAAGGCAGCAGGCGCGCAAAUUACCCAAUCCCGAUCCGGGGAGGUAGUGACAAUAAAUACUGAUACAGGGCUCUUUUGGGUCUUGUAAUUGGAAUGAGUACAAUUUAAAUCCCUUAACGAGGAACAAUUGGAGGGCAAGUCUGGUGCCAGCAGCCGCGGUAAUUCCAGCUCCAAUAGCGUAUAUUAAAGUUGUUGUGGUUAAAAAGCUCGUAGUUGAACCUUGGGCCUGGCUGGCCGGUCCGCCUCACCGCGUGCACUGGUCCGGCCGGGCCUUUCCCUCUGUGGAACCCCAUGCCCUUCACUGGGUGUGGCGGGGAAACAGGACUUUUACUUUGAAAAAAUUAGAGUGCUCCAGGCAGGCCUAUGCUCGAAUACAUUAGCAUGGAAUAAUGAAAUAGGACGUGCGGUUCUAUUUUGUUGGUUUCUAGGACCGCCGUAAUGAUUAAUAGGGACAGUCGGGGGCAUCAGUAUUCAAUUGUCAGAGGUGAAAUUCUUGGAUUUAUUGAAGACUAACUACUGCGAAAGCAUUUGCCAAGGAUGUUUUCAUUAAUCAGGAACGAAAGUUAGGGGAUCGAAGACGAUCAGAUACCGUCGUAGUCUUAACCAUAAACUAUGCCGACUAGGGAUCGGACGAUGUUAUUUUUUGACUCGUUCGGCACCUUACGAGAAAUCAAAGUGCUUGGGCUCCAGGGGGAGUAUGGUCGCAAGGCUGAAACUUAAAGAAAUUGACGGAAGGGCACCACCAGGGGUAAACCUGACCUGUGAAGCCGCAGUCAACUCUGCUCCAGAAAGCCGCCCGAAAGGGUCGGUGGUGUUCCUAGGGGAGAGCUCUCCCCUAAACUAAUGGCUAGUCCUGCCGCCCGCGGCAGGGCGACACCCUCAAACUGACGGGGAACUCCUAAAGCCCUCGCUCCGGACAGGCGUCGGGAAACCGACGGCCUGCUCACCAGGCUAACGACCUCGGGUAUCGGAAGCAACGCGAGAGGAUGCUACAAUGGACAAUCCGCAGCCAAGCCCCUACGGUGCGGCCUCUACGGGGGUCGCAUACGGGGAAGGUUCAGAGACUUGACGGGGGUGGGUGGCGCGGGCUCUUGGGGUGCAAGCCGCGUGCUUGCUUGCAGGCCCAGGCGCCCGCCGCUGCCUAAGAUAAAGUCCGGGCGUGCGCGAAAGCGUGCGCGGCAACCACGCAACCCGCCGUUUCCAGCGGGUGCGAGGCCCCAGAAGUAAAAACAACCGGGAGCCUGCGGCUUAAUUUGACUCAACACGGGGAAACUCACCAGGUCCAGACACAAUGAGGAUUGACAGAUUGAGAGCUCUUUCUUGAUUUUGUGGGUGGUGGUGCAUGGCCGUUCUUAGUUGGUGGAGUGAUUUGUCUGCUUAAUUGCGAUAACGAACGAGACCUUAACCUGCUAAAUAGCCCGUAUUGCUUUGGCAGUACGCCGGCUCUUAGA